GGUCAAUGAUGAGCAGUAAAAGGUCUGAUUACCCAGAAUCCUCUCCUGUGGUCCUCUGGUUCCCAGCAGCCCCGGCUCUGUUUUCCCAUCUUGCUCUAGUGGUGCAGUGGUGGUCCCAGGAGCUGCUGACAGACACAGGAAGUGACAUCACAGUGUGAGUCUGCACAGAGAGCCUGCAGGCUCAGUGUGAUGAUGACUCACUUCCAACAGAACCAAUCAGAACGGAGCGUGAGGCCGAAGGGAGAGGAGGGGGAUGAUCUCAAGUUUUCAACCUGAGACC
Non-coding RNA from Sander lucioperca (pikeperch), 280 nucleotides. The record is from Ensembl. Lineage: Eukaryota; Metazoa; Chordata; Actinopteri; Perciformes; Percidae.